Molecule: ribosomal RNA, 504 nt
Filed under: uncultured bacterium
Lineage: Bacteria
Description: partial 16S ribosomal RNA
Rfam family: Bacterial small subunit ribosomal RNA
Source: RNAcentral
GACGAACGCUGGCGGCGUGCUUAACACAUGCAAGUCGAACGGUGAAGCGCUUGCCUUUUUGGUGGGUGUGGAUGAGUGGCGAACGGGUGAGUAACACGUGAGUAACCUGCCCUCUUCUUCUGGAUAACCUCAUGAAAGUGGGGCUAAUACGGGGUAUUCCGGGUCUGUCGCAUGGCGGGUUUGGGAAAGAUUGCGCCUUUGGGUGUUUUCGGUGGGGGAUGGGCUCGCGGCCUAUCAGCUUGUUGGUGGGGUGAUGGCCUACCAAGGCGGUGACGGGUAGCCGGCCGGAGAGGGUGGACGGCCACACUGGGACUGAGACACGGCCCAGACUCCUGCGGGAGGCAGCAGUGGGGAAUAUUGCACAAUGGGCGCAAGCCUGAUGCAGCGACGCCGCGUGAGGGAUGGAGGCCUUCGGGUUGUGAACCUCUUUCGCCAGUGAAGCAGGCCUGCUCCUGUGUGGGUGGGUUGACGGUAGCUGGAUAAGAAGCGCCGGCUAACUACGUG